GCUGUAAACAUCCCCGACUGGAAGCUGUACCUGCUCCAGCUUUCAGUCAGAUGUUUGCUGCACCUGGCUAUG
Molecule: microRNA precursor, 72 nt
Organism: Lonchura striata (white-rumped munia)
Lineage: Eukaryota; Metazoa; Chordata; Aves; Passeriformes; Estrildidae
Source: Ensembl